GGAUGGGUGGCUGAGUGGUCUAAAGCAACAGUCUUGAAAACUGUCGCUCUCGAAAGGGGGCCGCGAGUUCGAAUCUCGCCCCAUCCG
This 87-nucleotide transfer RNA is filed under the name Candidatus Taylorbacteria bacterium CG10_big_fil_rev_8_21_14_0_10_41_48. RNAcentral's name for it is "tRNA-Ser". It matches the Rfam family "tRNA". From Rfam's summary of the family: Transfer RNA (tRNA) molecules are approximately 80 nucleotides in length. Their secondary structure includes four short double-helical elements and three loops (D, anti-codon, and T loops). Lineage: Bacteria; Candidatus Tayloriibacteriota. The record is from RNAcentral.